CUCUCCCCGCCCUCCCUGCCCGCCUGUCCCAACCCCAGCCCUGCCCGUCACCUCAGCAGCUGGAGCGGACGCAGGACGACUAUGAAGUAGAAGGGCUCCAUGUUGAAGGCCAGCGCCAGCAGUCCCAGGAAGGCGAAGGCUGUGACGGAGAAGUCGAACCUCGGGGGGGAGAGGGAGAGGGGUCUGGGCCCAGCCGGCCUCCCCACCACGGCUGGCGUCCGGCCCCGGCUCAGCUCGCCCUUCCAAGGAGCCCACGUGCCAACCACAGCGAAAGCAAGUGUGCCCCGCGGAGGCCCGUGGCCGGCAGGUUCCAGCCGGAGGACAGGUACUCCACGGGGCCCAGGCCAGCCACCUUCAGGAACAGCUCCACCCCGUAGACUGUGAACAGGAGCGGGAGCGGGCAGUUGGCCGUGUCCUCCCACACCGGGCCUGGUCAGUUUCCUCUCUGAGACCCUUGAGGUCUCCAGCCUCCCCCUCAGGCUGUGCGCCCUCUGGACAGCCACGCUCCACGGGAGAGUGUGUGCUCCACUCCCUCCCCCUCUCUGGGCAUGGCCCAGCCACCCUUCUGUCCGCCCAGCAGGUAUUGCCUGCACCUCUUCGGUGCCAGGCAUUGUGCUGGGUGCUGGACGUGCAAAAGUGACCAGCACGGUGCAGUGCCCCCUCCUACAGAGCUCAGAGUGCAGACAGGAGGAGACUGUGAGUGGGCGAUGACACAGCGCCCUCAGGGUUAUAGGAGGAGGAGGGGAAUGUCGGUCAGGCGGAGGAACACCCUGCAAAGGGCCUGAGGUAAGAAAGGGCACGGGCACUCGGGAGCAGGGCACUGCUCAGGAGGGCUGCAGGGUGGGGCCUGGUGGCUGAGGGACCCCGCUUGGCCGGGGAUGUGAGCACCUCGGGAUGGAGAUGAGAUGGAGGGCAGAGGAGCCAGGGAAGAGUCUGAAACGGGUGGGAUGGAAUCAGACCCAGUUUCUGCUUCCAGAAGCCUCCCCGUUUCAGAGCCAUGAGGUCCUAAACCAAUGAACGUCCUCCCACCAGUGUUUAAGACAAGCCGGUGGCAAAGCCAAGUCCAAACAAGAGACUUACUAGUGAGAAAGACGAGGGAACUCCAGGGCACGUGCUUGGAGAAGAAGUUCCCCCCUGUAGGACAGAGAGGCCGCAGCUCAAGAGGCAGGCCAGGCGUGCGCACGGGCGGGCCAGGCCCCCAGCGGGCUCACCUCUCAGCAUGAAGGUCUCGGCGAGGACCCAGACCCCAUUGACUGCCACCACCAAGUCUGCAAUAGAGAGAGAAGCACAGGCCUGUUGGAAACCUACAGGUCACAGCUGGUUAACUUCUGGGCCGCUCCACACACCCAUGGGACAGGGACACCAGUUAAGAUGUUCCGGUAAAACCUACUAUUCUAAGUCAGUAUCGACGACGGACAAUACACAAAGGGUUUGAGUAUUGAAAGAAUUUGCUUUUCCCUUGAGAUGUCUGGUUUUUAAAAUGACUGCACAGUUAGCAAAAUGCCUAUGGACCUGGCCUUUCGCUGAGCAAUCCCACUGCUAGGAACCCAUCCCAACAAGACAACACCAGCAAAAAACACAACACCAGGUACCCAUCCCAAUGAGACACCAGCAAACACACGCCUGGUACCCCUCCCAACGAAACACCGGCAAACACACAGCACCGGGUACCCAGAAAGCUGCUCGCUCGAGAACUACUUGUGACGGCAAAACAUGAGACCCCACCCAGGUGGUCAGGACGGUGCCGGUGGAAUAAACUACGAUGCGGUCAGGACACGGUGCAUCCCGCCCGGGCCAGGUGGCUCAGUUGGUUGGAGCACCAUCCCGUGCAUCGGAAGGUUGUGGGUUCGAACCCCAGUUGGGUGUGUACGAGGGGCAACCAAUCAAUGCUUCUCACAUUGAUGUUUUUCUCUCUCUCCCUUCCAUUCUCUCUAAAUAUCAAUAAGAAGACAUAUCCUUGGGUGAAGAUUAAAAAAAAAAAAAGAGGGCCUAUCAACUAUAAAAAUAAAGGGGGACAUCUCUAUAUAUUACUGUGGCGUGGUCUCCAGGAUUUAUUAUUAACCAAAAAAAAGUGUGUAAAGUCUGCUAUCAUUUAAUGAAGACAGAGAGAUAUAUAUAUAUAUAUAUAUAUAUAUCCCCCCCAUUCAGAGAUUUUAAAACAUGGACGGAUAAGCCAUGAUAAAAGGUGCCCAUUGGGGGAGGUGACAAGAUGUAAAAUUACGGGAAAUAAGUCACAGGGGGUAUGCACAAACAAACAAGAGGAAAGAGGAACAGUCCUGGUUCUCCAACUAUACAGUGCCAGAGGGAGAAGCGGGACGGAGGAGGAGCCUACAGAUUAAAACAGGCCCAAGUGACUUAUCCACCCAUCACACCCUGUGGUUCUGGAAUUUGCUUCCAAAUCUCGGGGCCUAGAGGGUAUAGCAAGCCCGAGUGAGGGCGCAGGUGCACAAGAAAGACUGGCCACUGGGUGGUGAGUGCCUUGGCUGGGUGCCGGGCACGUGACGUCCCCCGGAACUUUCUAUGAUGAGCAGUCCACACAGCGCCUGCGGGACCGAUCUCCGGCCUCCCACCCUCUGGGGGAGUGAGACCCGGGAGCAGAGGGCCCAGAGCUGGGUGGGUCCCACUUACACAUUAAAUACUGAAAGGCUUUGGACUUCACCAGGAUGUUAACUCCUGUUGGAAGAGAGGAAACGUUAGCAUCGAAGUCUUCAUGUGCAAGUACGCGCUCCCCGACGUCAUAGUGCUGCACAUAAGCCACCAGGGUAUUUAUGUCCAGGGGAGAAAACAGAAGGGCCUGUUCUGCCAAUGACACUCAGACACCCAAACACAGCGGCACAGACCACCGCUGCUCUGGGGACAGACUGGGCAACCCAGGCCGGGACAGAACAGAACACGGCGUUGUUGCCACUGCUGAAACCCACAAUCCUGCAGGCCUCGGCCUGGGACGGUUUCCUCAUCCACUUGAGUCACUAUCAUCUCAGCAGAAUGGAAACCCGUGAGAGAAUAUGAGAUAACAGCUGCGCCCAGCGCCCCAGCGGUGGGAGAAAUCACAAACAAGGCUCUCCCAUCGUUACUCGUGUUCAUGGUGGCCCAGACCCAGGCUUCGGGCCUUCUACACGAGAAACUCCGUGAGCCCACACCCCCACGUACAACUUCAAAGCUGGCAUUAAGUGAAGGGGGGACUGUUUAAUACGGGCGCUCGGAUGUAAAAUGGUUGAAUUUUAUACUGCGCAAGGGAUCACGUACACUGGGUAUACACCCUGUCACAGGGGAGAGGGCAAAAUACACAUACUGCAGUCCCACCAUUUUAAAAUGUGCAGAAAAAGUAACCAAUGUCAGAAAGCAACACAUCCGAACACUCACAGUGGUUAUUUCUGGGUGGGAGACUGUCUUCUGCUAUCAGACUUGGUAACCUUCCUUUAAUGAACUGGAUGGUCCACAGACGUCUUUUGGUUUGGUUUUGAAGUUGCCGAUUUCCUUCCUGGUCCCUAACACUAUGUCCCUGCUGGGGAAUCACACUCUCCUGCCGCCACGACACACCUUCAGGGGGAACCUUACCUUUGAAGAUGAGGAAGGCUGUCCGGGGAAGCUCAUCGAACCAGUGUUCUCGAUUCUUCUUCGCCUGCCCAGGAAACAGGGCCGUGAGAGAGGGGUUCGGACCAGGGAUGAGAACCUGACCCAGGGGGCCAGGAGGCCACGGUCCUUCCCUGCUCACCAGGCUCUCACUUGGGGAACAGGAAGAACACUCCGGGUCUAAGUAACAAUAAGGCCAGCCAAUGGCUACAGAUCAUUUCCAUGGGCCACGCACGUGCCUUAUUUUAUAUCGUCCUGAAAAAAGCUGGAGGUCAGAACUGCUGUUAGCCCAUUUCCCAGGUGCGACGACCUGGCCAAAGUCAGAUAAGUGGCCCCAAGUCACAGGGUGACUAAUGGGGCCGAGAUUCAGUGCGUGACCAGGACACUGUAUCACACGUGUAAAGGCAGAUGGGAGGCCCCGGGCCACCUGGGGCCCCUGAAGUGCCCAGAACUGAGGUGUUGUUCCAGCCAGGAAAGAAUUGGACCUCGGCCCGGCUGCAGUGGCUCAGUGGUUGAGCACCGACCUAUGAACCAGGAGGUCAGGGUUCGAUUCCCGGUCAGGGCACGUGCCCAGGUUGUGGGCUUGGUCCCCAGUGUGGGGUGUGCAGGAGGCAGCCGAUCCAUGAUUCUCUCUCAUCACUGAUGUUUCUCUCUCCCUCCACCUUCCUCUCUGAAAUCAAUAGAAAUAUAUUUUAAAAAUAAAAAAAGAACUGGCCCUCGGGUGCCUGUCGGCCUCAUCCCCCCGUGGAGCUGUCCACCUGCUCCCUCUCUGGUCUUACCUUCCACUUCAAGGCAGUGACUUCAUAGAUAUCAUAAAAGUCCUUCAGGCUGCCACAGCAACAGGAAAAGGCAGAACAAAAUUUACAAAAUCAGAUCGCUCCCGCUGAGCUUUACGUGUGUCACUCGCCUGCCUGUGGCCACCUUUGAAGGGGGAAGAGGGGAAGGGGGAGGGGACGGCUGGGAGUCCCAGCAUAUAAGUGGGGGAGGGGGGACCUCCCUGCAGGCAUUCUCACCUUCCCCCAGGCCCUGUGAAUACGUAAUCCUCUCAGUCUAACGGAGUGACAGCUUCAGGCCCCCUGAAUCACUAUAACUCUUACAUGGACGGGCUGAGCCUCCGUUAGCAGAGAACUUAAUGGGACAAAUGGGCUGAGAGUUCAGCCCAAACAGAACGUGCUCAUGCUCGUAUCUGCAGCUGGCCUGCUGCUUCUCAAACUCGGUCAGCAGCCAUCUAGAAGGUCGAGACUGCCCUGGAAAUCUGGGAGGCUGCGCCGUGGUGUGUGUGUGCGUGUGUGCAUGCCUGCAUAUGUGUGUGUAUGUGUGUACAUGUGAGGGUGCGAACACCCCUCUGUGGACCUGCCCAUAUGCAACAACCCCACUCAUUCUUAGCUCAAAGGUGAGCAGCUGCGUCAGUCUACUUCAUGAUCCAAUAUAUUCCGUUUUUUGUCAAGUGAGCCUGAAUUAGAUUUGGGUGGGACUUUUGUCACUUGCAGAGAGAAUCUUGAUGAAAACUAAAGCCUCUAACACAGCGGUUCUCAACCUGUGGGUCGCGACCCCUUUGGGGGUCGAACGACCCUUUCACAGGGGUCGCCUAAGACCAUCG
Molecule: long non-coding RNA, 5173 nt
Organism: Myotis myotis
Lineage: Eukaryota; Metazoa; Chordata; Mammalia; Chiroptera; Vespertilionidae
Exons: 3
Source: RefSeq, a predicted model, not a curated record